Molecule: ribosomal RNA, 253 nt
Filed under: uncultured bacterium
Lineage: Bacteria
Description: partial 16S ribosomal RNA
Rfam family: Bacterial small subunit ribosomal RNA
Source: RNAcentral
UACGUAGGGGGCAAGCGUUGUCCGGAAUCACUGGGCGUAAAGCGCGCGCAGGCGGUCAUCUACGUCUGGGGUGAAAGCCCGGAGCUCAACUCCGGGACUGCCAUUGAAACUGUUAGACUUGAGGACGAGAGAGGUGAGUGGAAUUCCCAGUGUAGAGGUGAAAUUCGUAGAUAUUGGGAAGAACACCGGUGGCGAAGGCGGCUCACUGGCUCGUAUCUGACGCUCAGGCGCGACAGCGUGGGGAUCAAACAGG